Long non-coding RNA from Cannabis sativa, 2328 nucleotides. RefSeq lists it as uncharacterized. The record is from RefSeq and is a predicted model, not a curated record. The transcript is spliced from 3 exons. Lineage: Eukaryota; Viridiplantae; Streptophyta; Magnoliopsida; Rosales; Cannabaceae.
UUAAAAUAAAAACUUACAAACACAUUUUUGUUAGAAAAAAAAAUUGCAUUGUUAUAUUUGUUGUUUAAGAAAUUCAAAAUCAAAACUUUUACAAAAGCCACUCUACUCUAAUCUGGUGUGAAAGUGUAACAUAAAAGGGGAUAUUGUAGGAUGGUCCAAAUAAACAGAAAGAACAAAUCUGAAAACUGGAUAAGGAAGAAGUGAGAGGAGAGCUAGACUGUUUUCUUUUUUCUUUUUCUUAAUCAUAUAAAUAUAAUAAUGCCAUAAUGGGUUAGCUACGCUAAUUAUGAGUAAAGCCGCGUUUGGUUGGACCACUUCCAUUCCAUUCCAUUAUUCAGUCAACUUAAUUUUUGUCUCACCCAAUUAUAUGUUACUCAUUUAAGAGAAAUGUAGAGACUUUUUAAGACCUCUUCCAAAUAUUUUUCUCAUUUUUUUGGGUGGGAGUGGGACCAGCUACUUAUUUCAGUGCCAUACAAAUGUAGGCAUCGUCAUAAAGAAGUAUGAAGUUUUGUGUAUCUGCAAUGGGUCACCAAAUCACAUUUAACGUGUUUGUCAGUAUAUUAUAAAUAUGUAUGUAUGGACUCGGACUAGGUUUUUUUAAUAUAUAUUUAUAUUAGAAAGGUAAUCAUAUAUUUUUACGAAUUAUACAAAUACAAUUAGUGUUUUCUCUCAAGCAAGUUUCUCUAAGAUUUAGGAGUGCUUAAGCUUUAGGAGCCUGUAACUCGCCGAGCAGUUGUUCCACUCAGGUUGGCCGACACACCUGAAUUUGAAAUCAAGGUAAGGGCAAAGCUAAAGUUGAGGAGCCGUGAGAGCGAGCAGGUGAAGAUUGUACAUGUUGGGGCGGUUAGGCCUGGAGCAUACGAUCCUCAAGACAUCAGGUAUUUUGCUGUUUAGUCGCUAGACGACAAAUAUUUUGUAUAUGAAUAGUAAACUUUUGUAACCCUAUUUUGUAAACGGGAUCCCAGCAUUUUAUAAAUGUAAUAUAUUAUGUAUUAAAUAAAUAAGCAAAAUUUUAAUUAUUCACGAUUUCCAAUAAUCUUGUUGAUUAGCAACGAGCUGCACAGUACGUUAAAAAAUCACGCUAACACGCCCAUAAUAGUUAGGGUGUUACAAUCAACUUUGAGAAAUGGCAUUUAAAAAAGAGAUGAAAGUGAGACUCAGGUUCAAGAUCACAAAUCGGACAAUUAGAGGACUCCACCUUCAAGAUUCUAGCAAUGAGAUCACGGGUGAGAAGGUGCUCGUUGAUAGCCUGCCACAAAAUCAAACGAUGCUUCGGGACAAUAAGCUUGUGCCACACAAUUUUGUGAUAACUCACAUUUUCAGCAGUUAUUAGAGAUAGGUAAAAUUAUUUUGCUUUGAACUAUCCCACAAAACUGGCAGCCAACAACUCUUCUUUGUCAAUGGUAUUCCUCAAUCUUACCAAUUUCUUGAAGUACCAACUGGUAUCUCCUCCGGGAUAGGUCUAGAAAUCAUGGUUCUUUAAAUACACACUAUUGAUCCAAUAAACUCAAAGGCAAUCCUGUUUGAGGAAAUUACACUCUAUACCCUUUUUAUAUUGUCCUCUUUUAUUUUUACCCUCUUUUUUAAAGUUUAUCAUUUUUACCUCUUUUUUUAAACAUUGUAUCAAUUUUGCCCCUGUCACUUCAAGAUACUCUCCAUGUGACUCUCUUAUGUCAGGGUACUUUGGGUACAAUACAUAUAAAAAGAGGUAUGUUUCAAUUAAAUAUAAAAUUAGAGGUAAAUUUGAUUAAUUGAUUAAUAAAAGUGGUAUUUCUCAACUUAUGCCAUCUUGUUUAGUGGAGAUAGCCCAUAUGUAUUUGGCCAUAAGAGCAAUAUUCUAUUUUUUCCCUUCCCUAAGACCAAUUCCUCCAUGAUUAAUUUUUCGGCAAGCAAACCUAGCUCCAAGAAGUGAAGUGCAACUUACUCUUAUUCUCAGACUUAUCCCAUAAGAAAUCACGACACAAUUUGUCAAUUUCAGUCGUAACUUCUUACGGAAGAAUAAAAAUGUUCAUCCAAUAAUUUCUAAUGCCCAAGAGAACAUAAUGGACUAGCAUAGCUCUUCCAGCAAAUGACAAGUGACAACUAGACCAACCAUGGAGCUUUUUUUUGUAUUUUGUCCACUAUUUCACCACAAUUUGAAAAAUAAAAAUGUUUAUCCAAUAAGUGUUUUUUUUACAUAACUAAAAUUAAUUAAUUUAAGGUAGCGUUUGGUUGGAUGUAAUAAAGCAAAAUGAAAUACAAAUGAUGCAAUUUUUAUUUUAUUUUUUUGUUUGGUUACAUUUUAAAGUAUUGAAAUGCUAUUCUAAUAAAAUGAUCUUUCUAUCAUUU